AUGAAGCCGGAAUUGCUAGUAAUGGCAGGUCAGCAUACUGCCGUGAAUACGUUCCCGGGCCUUGUACACACCGCCCGUCACACCAUGAGAGUUGGGAUACCCGAAGCCUGUGAGCUAACUUAACGGAGGCAGCAGUCGAAGGUAGAAUCAAUGAUUGGGGUGAAGUCGUAACAAGGUAUC
This 180-nucleotide ribosomal RNA is filed under the name uncultured bacterium. RNAcentral describes it as "partial 16S ribosomal RNA". It matches the Rfam family "Bacterial small subunit ribosomal RNA", at positions 1320 to 1500 of the family's 1533-position model. The record is from RNAcentral.